CAAUAGCGUAUAUUAAAGUUGUUGCAGUUAAAAAGCUCGUAGUUGGAUUUCUGGUGGGAGCGAUCGGUCUGGCGCUUAGCGCGAGUACUUGCAUCGUCUCCGGCCAUCCUUGGGGAGAGUCUGUCUGGCAUUAGGUUGUCGGGCAGAGGAUCCUCAUCGUUUACUGUGAAAAAAUUAGAGUGUUCAAAACAGGCUUAUGCCGUUGAAUAUAUUAGCAUGGAAUAAUAAGAUAGGACUUUGGUACUAUUUUGUUGGUUUGCGCACCAAAGUAAUGAUUAAUAGGGACAGUUGGGGGUAUUCGUAUUCCGUUGUCAGAGGUGAAAUUCUUGGAUUUACGGAAGACGAACUACUGCGAAAGCAUUUACCAAGGAUGUUUUCAUUAA
RNAcentral lists this ribosomal RNA (383 nucleotides) under uncultured eukaryote. Its description in RNAcentral is "partial 18S ribosomal RNA". It matches the Rfam family "Eukaryotic small subunit ribosomal RNA", at positions 592 to 976 of the family's 1831-position model. The record is from RNAcentral.